UCACACAUUCAUCGGGUCCAUCAUCAAUAACAUUUUCAUCUUCAAUUUCAGUCUGUUUGCUAGAUAGUUUAGUGCAAUUCUGUCUCGUAUUUUCCUAAUGUUUCCUGUCCUAUUACUUCUAUUCAUUAACAGUUAACAGUCACUCAGCUUUUAUUUAGUCUAAAUUUAGAAUUACUUUUUAAGUUUAAGUGUGGCUCAAAUACAAAUCAAAAUUGUUUGUAAUUUGAUGUAUUUAUUAUUAUUAUUUUAAUUCAUUUUUUUAUCUUUCGUGAGCAGCUAUAUUCGGCAGCUGAUAUAGUAAAUAAUCAAAUAUACGUCCGGAUAUUAGCUUUGGGUUACACCCUACUACCUAAUUGUGUAUCGUGUCACACUAUCAAAUGGUAAUGUUAGCUAGAAAGCAGCUAACUGGUUAUCAAAUACGUUGUUUUACCUUGAAAUAUGGCUCAAUGUCCCUCUGGAUUUUCACUAUUCGUGCAUCUUUACAGUUGCUGGUCGGUUGGGAGCUGUGAAAUGAGACACGUUUUUCUCUAUGUCGACCAGAAACCUGGGACACAGCAGUACAUUUGAGCUUCAAGUGGCAGCUGUGUGAAUUCGGCCUAUUCCUCACCGACGCAUAAGAAUCACCCAUCUAAAGUCAGAUCCGGUGAAUUCGGGAUAAACCGUCCCAUGAGUCCUGUCAGUAGUUUAUCUCCAUGGGAGAGUUUGGCAUCACUGCUCCACCCAGCCUCCAGAGGAAGGACUUAGUUGUCCUCCAUGAGGGACAUCAUUGCACCACUGAACUACUUCUCAUUGCUAAUCAUAAAGAUUAUAUCACAUGUC
This is a long non-coding RNA of Acanthopagrus latus (yellowfin seabream), 819 nucleotides long. RefSeq lists it as uncharacterized. Lineage: Eukaryota; Metazoa; Chordata; Actinopteri; Spariformes; Sparidae. The transcript is spliced from 2 exons. The record is from RefSeq and is a predicted model, not a curated record.